This 237-nucleotide unclassified non-coding RNA is filed under the name uncultured fungus. RNAcentral's name for it is "sequence contains ITS1, 5.8S rRNA gene". The record is from RNAcentral. Lineage: Eukaryota; Fungi.
UUGAAAUAAACCUGAUAGGUUGUUGCUGGUUCUCUCGGGAGCAUGUGCACACUUGUCAUUUUUAUAUCUCCACCUGUGCACCUUUUGUAAAUCUGAAUAGCUUUCUGAAUGCUUCGGCAUUCAGGUCUUGAGGAUUGAUCUUUUUCUUUUCUCACAUUUCCAGGUUUAUGUUUUUCAUAUACCCCAAGUAUGUUACAGAAUGUUAUAAACGGGCCUUUGUGCCCAUAAAUUUAUAUA